CAGUAGCCGCGGUAAUACGUAGGGUGCAAGCGUUAAUCGGAAUUACUGGGCGUAAAGCGUGCGCAGGCGGUUAUGUAAGACAGUUGUGAAAUCCCCGGGCUCAACCUGGGAACUGCAUCUGUGACUGCAUAGCUAGAGUACGGUAGAGGGGGAUGGAAUUCCGCGUGUAGCAGUGAAAUGCGUAGAUAUGCGGAGGAACACCGAUGGCGAAGGCAAUCCCCUGGACCUGCACUGACGCUCAUGCACGAAAGCGUGGGGAGCAAACAGGAUUAGAUACCCGCGUAGUCCCUGUCUCUUAUAC
Molecule: ribosomal RNA, 301 nt
Filed under: uncultured bacterium
Lineage: Bacteria
Description: partial 16S ribosomal RNA
Rfam family: Bacterial small subunit ribosomal RNA
Source: RNAcentral